This 25-nucleotide small RNA is filed under the name Arabidopsis thaliana (thale cress). RNAcentral describes it as "ATSL049830". The record is from RNAcentral. Lineage: Eukaryota; Viridiplantae; Streptophyta; Magnoliopsida; Brassicales; Brassicaceae.
AGAGAAGAAGAGGAAGAAGAAGAAA